Long non-coding RNA from Gastrolobium bilobum, 1292 nucleotides. RefSeq lists it as uncharacterized. The transcript is spliced from 4 exons. The record is from RefSeq and is a predicted model, not a curated record. Lineage: Eukaryota; Viridiplantae; Streptophyta; Magnoliopsida; Fabales; Fabaceae.
UAAGUAAAUUAAUUUUGCAAUACAGAAACUAGGAUUUCCAGUCUCCAAAAGCUUGAACCAAUUCAAUAAGAUUUGGUAUCGUGCUAUUCUACUAGCAUCGCUUUCUUCGUGUCCCUCCACAGAUUUCACUUCAUCAGGAGUUUUGCCAAUUUGAAGUUCACUUCAGGUUAUAUUUGAAUUUUGUAUCAAUUUCUUAAUAUUUUUCUUCUCUGAGACGAUGUAAUGUGGUCAUGCAUCAUUGAUUCUUCUUGUGCAUAGAAAUUAGUGAACAAGUUUCGGUGAAGGCUGAUCUUGAAAUUGCGAAUGCUUUGCUCAAGAAAUUGCUAGAGCAUAUCGAUGCAUUAAAAAAAAUUGCAUAAUGCUUUUAACGAAAAUGCGAAGCUACACGGUAAACAAAUUUGCAUCCUACCUGCCUGGUGAAAUGCGUAAGUAAGUACCUGUAGUGAAAUUUUAAUGUGUGUUUGUUAUUUGAAUUUGGUUCUGUUAUCUUUCCAAAUGAACAAAGUUUAAUGUAAACUCUGCCUAUUUGCCUACUCUUAAAGUUUUGACAUGAUGUAGCUAUAGAGAAAGAACUGGAAACCGCUAUCUUCAAGGCUGGUGGCAUCCAUGAUAGUAAUUUUGGGAUUCUUAACAAAGUUAAAUAGGGUCGAAGUAGCAGAACUGACAAAGGAGUAUCCUUCUUGUUAUUCCCUUUAUUAUAUAAGUUCGUUUUUGUUACUUGUUUUUAUAUAUCUUGAUUUCUGUUCACUUUUAUUAUGUGCACAUGCUAGGUCCACUCUCUGGAAAUAACAAUAUCCUUUAAGAUGGAAAUCCCUGAGAAUGCAUGGAAAGGAGAUAAUAAUGGUGCCUCCUCCAGGGAAAGGAUCACUAUGUAUUAGGCCAUUGCUCAUGGGAACAUGAGCUUUGUUAGGCUUGGCACCAGCACCUGAGUACACAUUUCUUGUUAUUGUUGCCCUGUCAGUUUCUACUACAAGAUUCUCGAGCUCCAAUAUGUGUACCACUUCCUUUACUAUUGAGUGGUUUCCCCAGUUUCAGUGCUUCAUCUCAAUAUCUUCUUGAUAAAAAAUUACAAGAAAAAAAAAUUCUUAUAAUUUUUUUUAUCAGGACCUUAUUACUGACAACAGCUGAUAUGAGAGCUGGUGCAAAAUUUGAGAAAAACCACCAUUUUGGAUCACUACUUUUCAUGGAAGAUGAUAAUAAGUUUCUUUUAGCCUGGCAGUUUCAGACAGGUGAAAAAUGAUGUAUCUUGGUUGAUUAUUGUUGACAGUCACACUCCCACAUUGUUGCUUAUG